Molecule: ribosomal RNA, 1508 nt
Filed under: Psychrobacter sp. KJF1-17
Lineage: Bacteria; Pseudomonadati; Pseudomonadota; Gammaproteobacteria; Moraxellales; Moraxellaceae
Description: bacterial SSU rRNA
Rfam family: Bacterial small subunit ribosomal RNA
Source: RNAcentral
CUCAGAUUGAACGCUGGCGGCAGGCUUAACACAUGCAAGUCGAGCGGAAACGAUGAUAGCUUGCUAUCAGCGUCGAGCGGCGGACGGGUGAGUAAUACUUAGGAAUCUACCUAGUAGUGGGGGAUAGCACGGGGAAACUCGUAUUAAUACCGCAUACGACCUACGGGAGAAAGGGGGCAGUUUACUGCUCUCGCUAUUAGAUGAGCCUAAGUCGGAUUAGCUAGAUGGUGGGGUAAAGGCCUACCAUGGCGACGAUCGUAGCUGGUCUGAGAGGAUGAUCACCACACCGGGACUGAGACACGGCCCGGACUCCUACGGGAGGCAGCAGUGGGGAAUAUUGGACAAUGGGGGAAACCCUGAUCCAGCCAUGCCGCGUGUGUGAAGAAGGCCUUUUGGUUGUAAAGCACUUUAAGCAGUGAAGAAGACUCCGUGGUUAAUACCCACGGACGAUGACAUUAGCUGCAGAAUAAGCACCGGCUAACUCUGUGCCAGCAGCCGCGGUAAUACAGAGGGUGCAAGCGUUAAUCGGAAUUACUGGGCGUAAAGGGAGCGUAGGUGGCUCUAUAAGUCAGAUGUGAAAUCCCCGGGCUCAACCUGGGAACUGCAUCUGAAACUGUAGAGCUAGAGUAUGUGAGAGGAAGGUAGAAUUCCAGGUGUAGCGGUGAAAUGCGUAGAGAUCUGGAGGAAUACCGAUGGCGAAGGCAGCCUUCUGGCAUAAUACUGACACUGAGGCUCGAAAGCGUGGGUAGCAAACAGGAUUAGAUACCCUGGUAGUCCACGCCGUAAACGAUGUUUACUAGUCGUUGGGUCCCUUGAGGACUUAGUGACGCAGCUAACGCAAUAAGUAGACCGCCUGGGGAGUACGGCCGCAAGGUUAAAACUCAAAUGAAUUGACGGGGGCCCGCACAAGCGGUGGAGCAUGUGGUUUAAUUCGAUGCAACGCGAAGAACCUUACCUGGUCUUGACAUAUCUAGAAUCCUGCAGAGAUGCGGGAGUGCCUUCGGGAAUUAGAAUACAGGUGCUGCAUGGCUGUCGUCAGCUCGUGUCGUGAGAUGUUGGGUUAAGUCCCGCAACGAGCGCAACCCUUGUCCUUAGUUACCAGCGGGUUAAGCCGGGAACUCUAAGGAUACUGCCAGUGACAAACUGGAGGAAGGCGGGGACGACGUCAAGUCAUCAUGGCCCUUACGACCAGGGCUACACACGUGCUACAAUGGUAGGUACAGAGGGCAGCUACACAGCGAUGUGAUGCGAAUCUCAAAAAGCCUAUCGUAGUCCAGAUUGGAGUCUGCAACUCGACUCCAUGAAGUAGGAAUCGCUAGUAAUCGCGGAUCAGAAUGCCGCGGUGAAUACGUUCCCGGGCCUUGUACACACCGCCCGUCACACCAUGGGAGUUGAUUGCACCAGAAGUGGAUAGCUUAACCUUCGGGGAGGCGUUCACCACGGUGUGGUUGAUGACUGGGGUGAAGUCGUAACAAGGUAGCCGUAGGGGAACCUGCGGCUGGAUCACC